Molecule: ribosomal RNA, 465 nt
Filed under: uncultured bacterium
Lineage: Bacteria
Description: bacterial SSU rRNA
Rfam family: Bacterial small subunit ribosomal RNA
Source: RNAcentral
CCUACGGGUGGCACCAGUGGGGAAUAUUGCGCAAUGGGCGCAAGCCUGAUGCAGCCAUGCCGCAUGUAUGAAGAAGGCCUUCGGGUUGUAAAGUACUUUCAGCGGGGAGGAAGGCGAUAAGGUUAAUAACCUUGUCGAUUGACGUUACCCGCAGAAGAAGCACCGGCUAACUCCGUGCCAGCAGCCGCGGUAAUACGGAGGGUGCAAGCGUUAAUCGGAAUUACUGGGCGUAAAGCGCACGCAGGCGGUCUGUCAAGUCGGAUGUGAAAUCCCCGGGCUUAACCUGGGAACUGCAUUCGAAACUGGCAGGCUAGAGUCUUGUAGAGGGGGGUAGAAUUCCAGGUGUAGCGGUGAGAUGCGUAGAGAUCUGGAGGAAUACCGGUGGCGAAGGCGGCCCCCUGGACAAAGACUGACGCUCAGGUGCGAAAGCGUGGGGAGCAAACAGGAUUAGAUACCCUCGUAGUC